CACAGUGGUGGCGCGUCACUCUCCCAUAAUCGGGCGACGUUGUCAUGCAUCCAGCUAAAAUAACCGCUAUGCAGAUUUCUAAGCCCGCCCACUCGGCGGGCUUUUUAUU
Triticum urartu is the source of this 109-nucleotide non-coding RNA. NCBI's taxonomy places the organism in Eukaryota, Viridiplantae, Streptophyta, Magnoliopsida, Poales, Poaceae. The record is from Rfam.